GUCCGCGUAGCUCAGUUGGAUAGAGCGGAGCUUUCCUAAAGCUUAGGUCGCGUGUUCGAGUCACGCCGUGGACGC
RNAcentral lists this transfer RNA (75 nucleotides) under Stieleria neptunia. RNAcentral's name for it is "Planctomycetes bacterium Enr13 tRNA-Arg". It matches the Rfam family "tRNA". Rfam says of the family: Transfer RNA (tRNA) molecules are approximately 80 nucleotides in length. Their secondary structure includes four short double-helical elements and three loops (D, anti-codon, and T loops). Further hydrogen bonds mediate the characteristic L-shaped molecular structure. tRNAs have two regions of fundamental functional importance: the anti-codon, which is responsible for specific mRNA codon recognition, and the 3' end, to which the tRNAs corresponding amino acid is attached (by aminoacyl-tRNA synthetases). tRNAs cope with the degeneracy of the genetic code in two manners: having more than one tRNA (with a specific anti-codon) for a particular amino acid; and 'wobble' base-pairing, i.e. permitting non-standard base-pairing at the 3rd anti-codon position. Lineage: Bacteria; Pseudomonadati; Planctomycetota; Planctomycetia; Pirellulales; Pirellulaceae. The record is from RNAcentral.